Molecule: long non-coding RNA, 2085 nt
Filed under: Sorghum bicolor (sorghum)
Lineage: Eukaryota; Viridiplantae; Streptophyta; Magnoliopsida; Poales; Poaceae
Description: long non-coding RNA (SBIC_LNC018844)
Source: RNAcentral
GGAACCUUAUCGGAGGGAAAGAUACCCUUGCCUGGGAGGUAAGGGUAUCGGAGUUGAGCCCGGGCCCCGCAGGGCCACCGUCACCUGAUAUCGAUUUAUAUCUUCUUCUUCUCUACAAGAGAUGUAUUCCCUAGUUAUGAGAGAUAGAGUUUCCUCUCGGGGAGGGAACUCUAUCGGAUAGAUAUUCCUAGUUAUAAUUCCUAAUCUAGGUAUAACACUAUAGAGGAGAUAUACUUCCCUCUGGGAGAGGGGAGUAUAUCGAUAGGUAUAGAGAGGGAGAGUUUCCUUUCGGGAAGGGAACUCGACCGGAGCCCUAGUAGGGGCAUAUGGUAUGACACAAACAAGGGUAUUUUUCUUAAGAGAUUUGCCCCAAAACGCGAUUUUGGGGCUUUCAGGUGUCAUACCAUUAGGGCAUUAACAAAGAUGCGCUACAGCGCAUCUUUGUUAAUAAACUUAUUGGCUUGAUUUCUUCUUCGAAGAAAUGCCUGCGCGUACACGUACGUACACGCGUACGUGUACCUGUGUGCGCGUAUGAUCUAUAUACGCGCACCCGUGCGUGCGAUCUAUAGACGCACGCGUACGCCUGCGCGCGUUACUACUUACGCACGCGCGCGCUAGACUCACUCCGUUCGCUCUAGUCUCCCUACGGUCGCCUAGAGCUCACUCCGUUCGUCUUCACUCCGCUACGCUUCGGUAUAGAUAACCUUCCCUGACAGGAAAGAACAUCUCUACCUACGCUACGCUUAGGAAGGGAGUGCGGGGCGCCGCUCCCUUCCGUCAAUAGAGCUUAUUUUUCAAAAAGAAUCGAAUCGAUUUUCCUGCCAGGGAAGUCGAUUAGAGUCUUUUCAAAGUCAAGGUUUAGGGUUGAUGGAGUUUGACUGAACAUUUUGAUGAAUCCCGAAAGGCCGUAUCAAAUGACAUUAGUCUGAGUCCAUCUUCCCUUGCUAUUGACGUAUAGGUAUGCGUAUGCCUGUCUUUCGACACUUAUCCAAGAUUGGAGUAAGCAAUCAUAGCCCGUCCUAUGAUCAUGAUAUGUUUUUCUCGGGAUUUUAUUGUUUUUUUCAAUUGGUUAUUGCCACGGAGAUAUGGUUCCCUGGGAGGGAACCAUAUCGAUAGACAGAUAGAGUUUCCUUUCGGGAAGGGAACUCUAUCGGAACUGAGAUAGGCUUUCCUUGGAGGAGGGAAGCCUAUCGAAGCCGCCCCGCAGGGCCUCCGGAAAUAUAAAUAAUAUCCCCCUUUCUUGGUUUAUUUAUCUACCCUUGUAUCCCGAGAUGGAUAAAUUACCCAAUAUAGGUUAGGUAAGGAUAGAGCUAAAGAUUGAGUCUUGUAUUUCUAUUGAGAUAAGGUUUCCUCUCGGGGAGGGAACCUUAUCGGAGGGAAAGAUACCCUUGCCUGGGAGGUAAGGGUAUCGGAGUUGAGCCCGGGCCCCGCAGGGCCACCGUCACCUGAUAUCGAUUUAUAUCUUCUUCUUCUCUACAAGAGAUGUAUUCCCUAGUUAUGAGAGAUAGAGUUUCCUCUCGGGGAGGGAACUCUAUCGGAUAGAUAUUCCUAGUUAUAAUUCCUAAUCUAGGUAUAACACUAUAGAGGAGAUAUACUUCCCUCUGGGAGAGGGGAGUAUAUCGAUAGGUAUAGAGAGGGAGAGUUUCCUUUCGGGAAGGGAACUCGACCGGAGCCCUAGUAGGGGCAUAUGGUAUGACACAAACAAGGGUAUUUUUCUUAAGAGAUUUGCCCCAAAACGCGAUUUUGGGGCUUUCAGGUGUCAUACCAUUAGGGCAUUAACAAAGAUGCGCUACAGCGCAUCUUUGUUAAUAAACUUAUUGGCUUGAUUUCUUCUUCGAAGAAAUGCCUGCGCGUACACGUACGUACACGCGUACGUGUACCUGUGUGCGCGUAUGAUCUAUAUACGCGCACCCGUGCGUGCGAUCUAUAGACGCACGCGUACGCCUGCGCGCGUUACUACUUACGCACGCGCGCGCUAGACUCACUCCGUUCGCUCUAGUCUCCCUACGGUCGCCUAGAGCUCACUCCGUUCGUCUUCACUCCGCUACGCUUCGGUAUAGAUAACCUUCCCUGACAGGAAAGAAC